UACGUAGGGGGCUAGCGUUGUCCGGAAUCAUUGGGCGUAAAGCGCGCGUAGGCGGCCCAGUAAGUCCGUUGUAAAAGUCAAAGGCUCAACCUUUGAAAGCCGAUGGAUACUGCUGGGCUAGAGUCCGGAAGAGGCGAGUGGAAUUCCUGGUGUAGCGGUGAAAUGCGCAGAUAUCAGGAGGAACACCAAUGGCGAAGGCAGCUCGCUGGGACGUGACUGACGCUGAGACGCGAAAGCGUGGGGAGCAAACAGG
Molecule: ribosomal RNA, 253 nt
Filed under: uncultured bacterium
Lineage: Bacteria
Description: partial 16S ribosomal RNA
Rfam family: Bacterial small subunit ribosomal RNA
Source: RNAcentral